GAUGAACGCUGGCGGCGCGCCUAACACAUGCAAGUCGAACGAUUAAAUCACCUUCGGGUGUGUAUAAAGUGGCGAACGGCUGAGUAACACGUGGGCAACCUGCCCCUUUCAUUGGGAUAGCCACGGGAAACCGUGGAUAAUACCGAAUACUUCGAGACUUCCGCAUGGAAGACUCGAGAAAGCUCCGGCGGAGAGGGAUGGGCCCGCGGCCUGUUAGCUUGUUGGUGGGGUAACGGCCUACCAAGGCAAUGAUGGGUAGCUGGGUUGAGAGACCGACCAGCCAGAUUGGGACUGAGACACGGCCCAGACUCCUACGGGAGGCAGCAGUGGGGAAUCUUGCACAAUGGGCGAAAGCCUGAUGCAGCGACGCCGCGUGCGGGAUGAAGGCCUUCGGGUUGUAAACCGCUUUCAGCAGGGACGAGGCGAAAGUGACGGUACCUGCAGAAGAAGCCCCGGCUAACUACGUG
RNAcentral lists this ribosomal RNA (467 nucleotides) under uncultured bacterium. Its description in RNAcentral is "partial 16S ribosomal RNA". It matches the Rfam family "Bacterial small subunit ribosomal RNA", at positions 28 to 507 of the family's 1533-position model. The record is from RNAcentral.